RNA transcript from Harpegnathos saltator (Jerdon's jumping ant), 3030 nucleotides. RefSeq lists it as uncharacterized. The transcript has 6 exons. NCBI's taxonomy places the organism in Eukaryota, Metazoa, Arthropoda, Insecta, Hymenoptera, Formicidae. The record is from RefSeq and is a predicted model, not a curated record.
CGGACGGACGCGGUACCGACGACGUGCAGAGCGACUUCAACGUGUACACGCGCCGGGAAGCGCGACUGGAGCGGGACCGACGAGACCACGAAUCGAUUUUUAGUGAGCGGCCUUGUUUUCGGAGUUUUAGCUAAUCGCGAGAAAGUGCUAAUCUUACUUGUCGAUAUGAUGAGGCCCGGAUCUCUUGGUGUUGAGUUUGCCGACGUUACUGUUCGCACCGGCAAGAAAGAGAGAGGGAAAGAGAAGGAGGUAGAGGGGGGCUCAUCCGAAUCGGGCACCGAAGUACCCGCGAAAAAGAGAUACAUCGACGGUCGCAAUCCCGAGAAAUCAGCGGCGCUGCGGAUGGAACGGACGGAACGGAGCCAUGGAAUUGUUCUCAUUAAAUUUUCUCGGCUUCGGAAGCGUCGCGUCGCCGCGUCGCCGACGGUUCGCGUCACGUACAGAAUGGUACGAACCUAUAAAAGGAAGAUGGAGAGGCAAGAAUGACCCGAGAUAUCCAUGGACGAAGCAGUGAAAGCUGUAAUAAAUGGGUCUAUGGGAUGUAAAAAGGCAGCUUUGCAGUUCAAUGUGCCACAAACUAUAUUACAACACAAAUACAAGUCAAAUUAAGAAAAGAAAAAGGGCACCGGAUUUCGUCGUUCAGAAGAAAGUGGGACGUUUUUAUGUGUUUUCAGUAACGAUCAGGAAGGAACAAGUUCAACUUCCUGAUCGUUACUGUUACAAUAUCUAACUAAAAUGGAGGCAUAACUUUUUGGGCUAAUAAUUAGUGACCUUUAUGACCUUGCCUUCCAAUUAGCAGAACGUAAUGAAAUUACUCAUCCUUUUAAAAAUGGGAAAGCAGGAUUAGAUUGGGCAAGAAAUUUCAUUUCUCGACAUGCGGGGUUAAGUUUAAAAAAGCCUGAAGCUACCUCUGCAGCACGAGCUAUGGGAUUCAAUAGGGUUGCAGUCGAACAGUUUUUCAAUAUUCUCUCUCAAAUUGUUAACACUCAUAAACUCACAGCAGAAAGAAUUUAUAAUUGCGAUGAGACAGGUUUAACCAUAAACCCUAAAGGUCAUACAAAGAUUAUAGCCCUCAAAGUUCGUAGACAAGUAGGAACCAUAACUUCAGUAGAAAGAGGACAAAUUGUCACCGCUGAAAUCUGCAUGUCUGCUGCUGGAGCAUAUAUCCCAUCCAUGCUUAUAUUUCCUCGAAUAAGGAAGAAGUAAGAAUUCGAGAUUGGUCUUCCUCCAGGAGGUUUUGCCGAAGUUCAUUCAACUGGAUGGAUGAUAAAAGAACUCUUUCUUGUGUGGUUCAAAAAAUUUAUACAAUUUGUAAGGGCAUCAGAAGAGAGACCAGUCCUCCUUUUAUUAGAUGGACAUUCAACACAUACUUGUAAUGUAGACUUAAUUGACAUGGCACGUAAAAAUGGAGUUAUUUUGGUUUGUUUUCCGCCACAUUGCUCUCAUAGGCUUCAGCCUCUUGACGUAACCUUCAUGAGAUCUUUGAGCAAGUACUAUGAAGAUGAAAUUCGAAAAUGGUUGAGGUCAAAUCCUGGAAAAGUAAUAACUUUACAUCAGAUUGCCUCUUUGUUUGGUUCAGCUUAUGUGAAUGCUGCAACAAUGAGCAUGGCUAUUAAUGGUUUUUAAAAAAGCGGGGUGUGGCCAGUUGAUAUGAACGUUUUUAACGACUGUGACUUCCUGCCUUCGGCAACGACUAAUAUUUGCCUUCAGGGCAAUGUUACAGAACAAUCUGCAGAAUUUGGCCGCAUUCAUCAAGAUUCACCAUGCUAGUUGUCAUUAGGCACACUUCAGACUACUCCAAUUCCGUCAACUUCAAGCGACAUUCAGGCUGCUUCAAUUCCGUCAACUUCAUAUGUCACUGAGAUAUCUCCUACCCUGUCAGCUCCAUAAAGCAGUGUGGUAAGAAUCCGCUAUGGCGAAGUUGAACACAUCCAAUUUUACCGCUCGCGUCAAGCGGAUAGCCGGGCGAUUUUAACAGCAGCGUUAUAAGGAGCUCCAUGUAAAGACGGUAGCGAAUAAAUCAGCGGGCAGCUAGCGAAUAUUCAGCAUGCUGUGCGAGACAUGCGUACGGCUGGCAGACACUAAACAACUGGUUCGAGUUGUAUGCGAGAAUUUAAAACAUCGUGUAUGAGACUAAUCAGACAAAUCUUAAGUAAUGAAUUAGACAUGAAAUACAGCUGGUAUGGAGCGAAAAAGAAAAAUGUCUUCAGCAACUUACAAUUGUGUAAAGUAAUUACAAGCAACUUAAAUGACAACAGAUAUUUAUUUAAACGAAACACACUUUCUCUCUUUUCUAAUUUCACUGAUUUUUAAAUAUUACAUUCCAAGUGUGAUUAGAAUCCGCUAUGGCGAAGUUGAACAUAUCUAACUUUUACCGCUCGCGUCAAGCGGAUAGCCGGGGGACUUUAGCAGCAGCGUUAUAAGAAGCUCCGUGUAAAGACGGUAGCGAAUAUAUCAGCGGGCAGCUAGCGAAUAUUCAGCACGCUGCACGUGCGCGAGACAUGCGUACGGCUGACGGACGUUCGUGAGACUCAUGCUCGACGGAGCGACGACGUCGCGCUCCGUUAUAUCCCCGGCCAGCCGAAUCUUGACUACGAGCAUCGGAAUCGCGAAGCACAUCGCGUAGUAACUGCGUUCGGCACUACUAGCUGCGCGCGGGACGUCGGCGAGAGUACUGUACUUUCGCCUCCGACGGAUUCGACGGAAACGUAUAUUAGGAAUGGCAGUAAUCGCUUCUGAUCAAUUAUUACAAAAUGUAAUGUGGGACAGCAGUAGCAGUGAAUGUGACUAGAUUUUGAAUAAGUUUUGAAUAGAAAUAGAUGUUGUAUCUUAUGAAACACGAUUACGAAUGCAAGGUAACAGGAAAACUCCAAAACGGGUUAAAAGUUAUCGGAUAUUAUUGUAUGUAUCGAAUAUUAUUUCAAGGACGUUUAAUGGAAUAUUUCACGAAUAUUUUCAGAUGACUCCGAGCAUAUUUGAAAAUCUAGCGACGUGUUACGUCCUGUAGAUUUAAUUAGUAAAAAUUCUUUC